RNAcentral lists this long non-coding RNA (4439 nucleotides) under Homo sapiens (human). RNAcentral's name for it is "HSALNT0206642". The record is from RNAcentral. Lineage: Eukaryota; Metazoa; Chordata; Mammalia; Primates; Hominidae.
UAAUUUUUUGCAUUUUUAGUAGAGACGGGGUUUCACCGUGUUAGCCAGGAUGGUCUCGAUCGCCUGACCUUGUAAUCCGCCUGCCUCAGCCUCCCAAAGUGCUGGGGUUACAGGCGUGAGCCACCGCGCCCGGCCGAGACACUCUUUAAAUUGGCAUUCAUGGCUCUGUAGACUCCUACAUAAUUGUUUCUUUCCUCUGUUAUUUACUCACCUAUUCUAUCAGAGAAGCUGAUUCACAUUUCUGCCACAAUACAUUGUGCAGCAAAUUCAUGGAAAUGUGCUCCUUUCUUUUCUGAAUUAAACUCAAUUUGAAAAUCCCAACCUUCUCUAUGAAGCAUCCUUAGCAAUCCCAGCCCACCAGACUCAUCUCUUUUAUCUAUGUGGAAAGUAACAGAGUAAUCAUUAUUUAUGGGAUUCAUUUGACAUUAUUGCUGACUGCCUUAUUUUGCAGUCUCCUUGGUAUGUAUUUUCAAUGUGCUCCGUAUUUUCACUGUUCACACACAGAGGUCAUCUUGUGUUGCUUAGGUAGUAGCAUAGGGCUCCCAUGCAUAACACAAUGCCUACAUGUGACAGGUGCACUUGGUAAGUGUUUUGAUUGACUAAUGUGCACCUCUCUCUUCACUGGGUUUCCUCUUGCCAUCCUGCCCUUCAUAUUAUUUUGAAUCCUCCAACCUAGAUAUUAAAUAGACCCUUCCCCUGAACUCCACCCAGAUAUUCCUGCUUCUAUUCAUCCCAGAGAUUCCAAAUUGUAAUGUCUGUCUUUGCCCUGAAUACCAGCACAAGCCAUCAAAGUAAUAUUGUGUAUUUGGCUGUACACGUGGGCAUUUGUGUCUAAGAAAAUAUCAUAAAGCACUGAUCUACUAUUACAGCCUCCAUGGUUUCAGAGAAACGAAUUCACUGCCUUGCACCUCCAUCUACCUCAUUCAUGUAAUUGUUGUUUCUGUUGGAUAAACCCUCAUGACUCUUCUAGCUCUAAAACACAUAAUAUUUUAUGAAUAACUGUGUAUAGGUAAUAUUUCUUGAGUAUUAACUUUCUGCUAAAUUUCAUCAUAUAAAAUACAGCAGUCCAUGAAGUAGGUGCUCUUAUUAUUCCCAUUUUUAAGAUUAGAAAAUUGAAAAAGAGAGGUUAAGUAACUUGCCCAUGGUCGGGGAGUUAAUAAGCAUCAGAGGUGAGCUUCAAACCCAGGCAGAAUGAUGCCUUAAGCACUGGGAACACUAUUCCACUGCAAGGAAAUACCAGACUGAGCAUUUCAAUCUAUUCCUUUUCAAUACUGACUUCUCAACUGCAGUGGAGAAAAUGUAAUUAAAUAAUAUCCAAAUUAGAAAUUAUUUAAUGUGACUUUAAAAUGCUUUUAACUAGAAGGAUGAGUGGGGCAGGGCUUACUCGAUGCCCCAGGAGUUUUCUUUCUUUGCAAAGGUAACUUCUGUUGCUUAAAAUAGAUGAUUGCAACAUAUUCCAGAUUGUCAAGUGAGGCUUGCUUCCUUUUCUCUGGCUGUUAGGCUUUCAGUCAGACAAGGGUAUGCGUUCCAAAGAAGGUGUACAAUCUCCAUAAAGAAAGUGAUGUUGUAAAAUACAUAUUAAAGAUAUUUAUGGGUUCCAACCAAAGGCUCCUUGGCUGGUGGUUUGGAUUGAUUUCGAGGUGCGGCUGAUGGAAGCCCUUCUUAGAUGUUCCCAGAACUGGUGUGGUUUGGCGCCCUAAUGGCCUAAGUUCAACAAGGCACCGGAGUCAGAGCACAGAAUGCAGAUUUCCUGGUCCUGCAAAUGAUGGCCCCCAACCUUUUGCCUUAGGAAGCCUUUAUUCAACACAAAUAACCCUUAUUGUGCAUUGAGGAUGAACAUAAUGCAAAUUAAAAAUAGACAACGUAUACAGAAUGAUAAAUGUAAAUGCAAACGCAAUGUCUGUAUUCUUUAAUUGCAAUUUUUCCUGAUACCCAGCCAUAUUAUGUGUAUUCACUGAAUAGCAAGAAAGAAAAUAAUACUGAACAUAAAAUGCCCUAGUUGGAAUUUUUUAUAUCUGUGUGUCCCCACAAAAUAAACAUCUUUAUGUUCACAAUAUUUUGUUUGAUAAAGCUAAAAUGUUCUAACACUAAAAACUGCUCUCUAAUCUAAUGAUAAAUAACCACAAGUCCAGGGAAUAAUUAAAUAUACAAAAAAAAGAUCCAAGUCUGCGCUCGCAUCAGUAAAAGGAUGGCAAUUAAAGUAAGUGAUAGCUAUAAUUACGCACACAUAACUAUAUUUCAACAAAUGAACAAACAGAUAAUUAUUUCUGGGAAGCAGAGGUAGCAUGCAGAUACUGGCAUUCAAAAGAGAAAUGUUUCCUAGAAAAUAACACUGUUUCUGAUUCAAUUAGAACUUUAAGUUAUUUUAAACAUUUAUUUUCAUCUUGUGCCCUUAUUUAGAAAGUGCAUUGGCUGCACUUUGUAAGUUAUGAACCUGUACUAAUAAUUGCUUUAAGAGUUAUCAUGCUCAUGUAUACAUCACAUUCUGCACAUGUGUAAUGUUUGUUCAAUUUCUAUAAUACUGACGAGGCAGUUUUUCUGACUCUGCCCUCUGUAUGGGAUUUACUGGUUCCUCCGUAACAAACAACAUUGUUUCAAUCAGCAAAUGCUUACUCAGGGCCUAAGUAUAAAGGGUAUUGUGCUGGAUGUUUUAAAAAUCAUGGGGAAAGUUCCAGGCCCCCAGAAAUUCAUGGCGCUCACAAGAGUAGAUCAGCAUAAAUGUGUCAAGUUGCUUUGAAAGAUUGAAUUUCCAAUUGAAAUAAUUUUCCUUUUGCACGCAUAACUCUUGAGAUUUUCAAGUGGUUUUUACUUAAUGACAGCAUAGAACCAACUUUAUUUUAAAAAUUGUAAGUGUGUUAAGGGAGAACACAGAAAUCUGUGUUGCAGGCUUUGGCCGUACACACUAUGUGUUACAUGCUGAAGUUUAGAACCCUGAUACUCCUAAAGAAUUUAUAUUAUUAAUUUCAUGGAUCCUAUUUCACAAACAUCUCCAUUUUGGUCUAGAGGGUUUCUGCUUGUUUCCUUGGUUUUUGGUUAUGUUUUGAUAUUUAGAGUAUGACUUGCCGUUUUUAUUAUUAUUAUUAUUAAGUUUUUUAGGAUCAUUUCCGAAGCUGUAGUUUUUGCCUUUUGCCUCAAAACACAGAAAACUUAAAUAUUUUGGUGAAGAGAAGUUCCCUUUCUCCAUCUCUUUCUUCCUCCUUUUUUUUUUAAAUUGCAGAAUUGUAACAACCACACAAAUAAAAUAAAGAAAUAGAACACUGGCAGCUCUGCGGAAGCUCCUGUAGUCAUCUCUCCAAAUCGCUACUGGCCUUCCCCUCCAAAUGAAAUUGCCAUCCUCACUUUGUGGCAGUCCGUUCUCCGAGCACCUCUUCCUUUUCAGGCGGGCUUCAUCCAUGUGCUAGUUCAGCCUGUGAGAUGCUGGUGAGCCCACCUCCAGGCACUCACGGACUCCCCACCCAUUGAGUGUGGCCUGGAUUUAGUGACUCAAUCAAACGUGACAGAGUGCUGGGGUGUCAUUUUCAAGACUGGGUUAUGUGAAGACUGCAGCCUCCAUCUGGGGUGCUCUCUCUUGGAUUGCUUGCUCAGGGAUGUGGGGAGAGCUGCUGUGCUGGGAGGCUGCCCAUGUGAGUUGACUUGGAUGUGAACCUUCUGUGGCCUGCCAAUAGCCACGUGAGUGACCUUGAAAAUGGAUCAGCCUUCACUCAAGUCUCAAGAUGACUGUGGUCUUGGCUGACAGCUUGAUUGCUGUCUCAUGGGGGACCUUAAACCAAAGGCACCCUGCUAAGCCACACACAGCUUCCUGGCCCACAGAAACUAUGAAAUAAUAACCAUUUCUUAUAUAAGCCUCCAAGUUUUGGGAGUAAUAUUUUGCACAGUGAUGGAUCACUAAUACAAGCCAGUCAUCAGUUGAAAGACACUGAAUUUAUUUCCAGUUUUAUGUGAUUAUGAAUAAUGUCACCAUAUGCAUUUGCAUACAGGUGUUUGUGUGGACACUGCUGUCAUUUCUCUUGGGAAGAUACUGAGGAGUCAGAUUGCUGGAUCCCGUGAAGAAUGUGCACCUGGGAUUGGCUCUUGCUUCCUAAGGAACCUCAAAAAAGCUGCAACCUAUUGGAGACUUUUGAUUCAGCAUCAAGGAUAUGCGUGAGACUUUGGUUCUUUUCUGUUGGGACACAGUUGAUUCUGACUGUCUUAAAGUUAGGCUUUUCUAAAGAUUUAGACUAAUAAAUUAUUUGAAUGGGACAACACACAUCAUUUGCUUUAUUAUACUUUAAAUAUGGCAGAACGGUGUAUUACCACCCCAAUCCCAAUCACCGGUACCUCCAUAGGCAGAGAUGUUAUCCUUAUUUUGCUGAAGAAGGAAUUAGGGUUACUCAGAGUCAUGCAGUUGGAAAGAGAUAGAAUGGAACUUUAACCUGUAUGUUCUGAUUAUUAUUCAGUCU